This 429-nucleotide ribosomal RNA is filed under the name Bacillota bacterium. RNAcentral's name for it is "Firmicutes bacterium partial 16S ribosomal RNA". It matches the Rfam family "Bacterial small subunit ribosomal RNA", at positions 355 to 776 of the family's 1533-position model. The record is from RNAcentral. Lineage: Bacteria; Bacillati; Bacillota.
UAGGGAAUCUUCGGCAAUGGACGGAAGUCUGACCGAGCAACGCCGCGUGAGUGAAGAAGGUUUUCGGAUCGUAAAGCUCUGUUGUUAGAGAAGAACGUUGGUAGGAGUGGAAAAUCUACCAAGUGACGGUAACUAACCAGAAAGGGACGGCUAACUACGUGCCAGCAGCCGCGGUAAUACGUAGGUCCCGAGCGUUGUCCGGAUUUAUUGGGCGUAAAGCGAGCGCAGGCGGUUCUUUAGGUCUGAAGUUAAAGGCAGUGGCUUAACCAUUGUACGCUUUGGAAACUGGAGGACUUGAGUGCAGAAGGGGAGAGUGGAAUUCCAUGUGUAGCGGUGAAAUGCGUAGAUAUAUGGAGGAACACCGGUGGCGAAAGCGGCUCUCUGGUCUGUAACUGACGCUGAGGCUCGAAAGCGUGGGGAGCAAACAGG